This 253-nucleotide ribosomal RNA is filed under the name uncultured bacterium. Its description in RNAcentral is "partial 16S ribosomal RNA". It matches the Rfam family "Bacterial small subunit ribosomal RNA", at positions 524 to 776 of the family's 1533-position model. The record is from RNAcentral.
UACGUAGGGUGCAAGCGUUGUCCGGAAUCAUUGGGCGUAAAGCGCGCGUAGGCGGCCUUGUAAGUCCGUUGUGAAAGUCAAAGGCUCAACCUUUGAAAGCCGAUGGAUACUGCAAGGCUGGAGUCCGGAAGAGGCGAGUGGAAUUCCUGGUGUAGCGGUGGAAUGCGCAGAUAUCAGGAGGAACACCAAUAGCGAAGGCAGCUCGCUGGGACGGUACUGACGCUAAGGCGCGAAAGCGUGGGGAGCGAACAGG